UUUGGCUACAGUCAAGCACUUGCUUUGUGUUCCUUUUCAUUUUUUCUGGCAACAUUGAAUUAGGCCACCACUUGUAGGUUCUUGUAGGUUCACCACUCACUUCUAAGUUCUUGGAUUGUGACACAACAUGGACAGAAUAUUGGAUCACAAAGCAUUUCCCAGUGGAUGUAACUAGAGUAGCUACUUCUGAGGCCUACAAAAAAGGAACAACCAGUGCUUGAUUUGGUAAAAUUCAUCACAGUGGGACCACAAUGUGGUGAAAUUUAUUAUAGUAGAGCUAUAAUGUUGUAGAGCUAUUCCACAACACACUUUUUCUGUGUGUGAAAUGCUGGAGGACACAGAGAAGAUGUGCUUUGAAGGCACCUUGCACCCACUGUCAGUGAAGUGCUCUGGAUGGACCCUGAGAGCUUAACUUCAGCUUUGGUUCCUGAGAGUAGGACUUUUCCUCUUCGUGUCCUCAGUGCAACGUUGGACUUACCUAGACAGCCUGGACUUGGUCUGUGCUUUGCAUUUCUGCUGGGACAGCUCUGUGACUGCAAGAUGGACUUCCAGUCUUUGACAAACAUGGACAUACCAGCAAAAGGGUUGUUUGUACUGGCCAUACCCCUCAAAGACUGCUCUUACACCAGCUAAGUACUCCAGUGUAGGCAGUUUCAGUUGCAGAGUAAAUAUCUCACUGUAUUUUUUUUCAGAUGGGCUGUGACCACAGUCUUCUGUUUCAUUUAAGGGAAAGUAUUGUUUUGGUUUGAAAGCAGUGGAAGAAUCUCUAUUAAUUUUC
This 778-nucleotide long non-coding RNA is filed under the name Anser brachyrhynchus (Pink-footed goose). RNAcentral describes it as "lncRNA (ENSABRG00000000031.1)". The record is from RNAcentral. Lineage: Eukaryota; Metazoa; Chordata; Aves; Anseriformes; Anatidae.